Molecule: long non-coding RNA, 492 nt
Organism: Felis catus (domestic cat)
Lineage: Eukaryota; Metazoa; Chordata; Mammalia; Carnivora; Felidae
Exons: 3
Source: RefSeq, a predicted model, not a curated record
GCCGCGCCAAGCUGCUGUGACCUUUCCCUGCAGAUCCCUAACCAGAGCAGCGACCAAAAUUAGGGUCUGGAACAGCUACCGCCAGAGAAAGCUAGAGAUAGCAGCAUCCAAGCGACGCCUCCCGAUAUGGGACACCCGACAUGGGACGCUGCGGCCACGCACAGAAGGGAUCGCACCAUAGGGCUGCAACAGGGAGCCCUCGGAAGCAGGACCUGGGGGCGUGGGGAGCCCGCCGGAGUCACAGAGGGUAAUGAGCAAAGCCAGGAAGCAGGUCAGGCCCGCCUGGUCCGGGAAGUGCUGUGAUAGAGGCGACAGGCACAGCCAUGUAGUAAUCUCCAAUUUUCUGAUAACCACGUUAAAGCAAAGUAAAAAGGGGCGCCUGGGUGGAUCAGUCGGGUGAGCGUCCAACUCUGGAUCUCAGCUCAGAUCAUGAUCUCAGGGUUCCUGGGAUCGAGCCCCGUGUGGGACUCUGUGCUGACGGUGUGGAGUCGG